GGGGAUGUCUUGGUUUCGACGGGGGUGUGGAAACCGGAUAAGCGAGCCGCAGUUUGUCCAGUCUGCGCUAAAAGGGACACGUUAAAUAUAAACGCUAAAAGAACAAACAAUUUCGCACUGGCAGCGUAGUUCUGCCCCGCGCGUUCUCUCAGAUUCACCUGCAGGUCUGAAUCAGAACGUCAAACAUGCAGGAAAACCUUGUGUGAUUUCCUGGUAGCAUAAGGGACUUACAGGAUAGCUGAUACUGCAGCCUGCUAUUGGGCGUCAGAGGAUGCGAAACUUUAAAUCAAUAGCUGCGCUCGGAGAAAAUCCGUUGGAAAUGCUUUCGGACACGGGUUCGAUUCCCGUCAUCUCCACCA
This 359-nucleotide transfer-messenger RNA is filed under the name Bacillota bacterium. It matches the Rfam family "transfer-messenger RNA". Rfam says of the family: Bacterial tmRNA, also known as 10Sa RNA or SsrA, is named for its dual tRNA and mRNA-like properties. Lineage: Bacteria; Bacillati; Bacillota. The record is from RNAcentral.